This 1675-nucleotide ribosomal RNA is filed under the name Salmonella enterica. RNAcentral describes it as "partial 23S ribosomal RNA". It matches the Rfam family "Bacterial large subunit ribosomal RNA", at positions 1 to 1714 of the family's 2925-position model. The record is from RNAcentral. Lineage: Bacteria; Pseudomonadati; Pseudomonadota; Gammaproteobacteria; Enterobacterales; Enterobacteriaceae.
GGUUAAGCGACUAAGCGUACACGGUGGAUGCCCUGGCAGUCAGAGGCGAUGAAGGGCGUGCUAAUCUGCGAUAAGCGCCGGUAAGGUGAUAUGAACCGUUAUAACCGGCGAUACCCGAAUGGGGAAACCCAGUGUGACUCGUCACACUAUCAUUAACUGAAUCCAUAGGUUAAUGAGGCGAACCGGGGGAACUGAAACAUCUAAGUACCCCGAGGAAAAGAAAUCAACCGAGAUUCCCCCAGUAGCGGCGAGCGAACGGGGAGGAGCCCAGAGCCUGAAUCAGCAUGUGUGUUAGUGGAAGCGUCUGGAAAGGCGCGCGAUACAGGGUGACAGCCCCGUACACAAAAGCGCAUGUGCUGUGAGCUCGAUGAGUAGGGCGGGACACGUGGUAUCCUGUCUGAAUAUGGGGGGACCAUCCUCCAAGGCUAAAUACUCCUGACUGACCGAUAGUGAACCAGUACCGUGAGGGAAAGGCGAAAAGAACCCCGGCGAGGGGAGUGAAAAAGAACCUGAAACCGUGUACGUACAAGCAGUGGGAGCACAGGUUUACCUGUGUGACUGCGUACCUUUUGUAUAAUGGGUCAGCGACUUAUAUUCUGUAGCAAGGUUAACCGUAUAGGGGAGCCGUAGGGAAACCGAGUCUUAACCGGGCGUUAAGUUGCAGGGUAUAGACCCGAAACCCGGUGAUCUAGCCAUGGGCAGGUUGAAGGUUGGGUAACACUAACUGGAGGACCGAACCGACUAAUGUUGAAAAAUUAGCGGAUGACCUGUGGCUGGGGGUGAAAGGCCAAUCAAACCGGGAGAUAGCUGGUUCUCCCCGAAAGCUAUUUAGGUAGCGCCUCGUGAAUUCAUCUCCGGGGGUAGAGCACUGUUUCGGCUAGGGGGCCAUCCCGGCUUACCAACCCGAUGCAAACUGCGAAUACCGGAGAAUGUUAUCACGGGAGACACACGGCGGGUGCUAACGUCCGUCGUGAAGAGGGAAACAACCCAGACCGCCAGCUAAGGUCCCAAAGUCAUGGUUAAGUGGGAAACGAUGUGGGAAGGCCCAGACAGCCAGGAUGUUGGCUUAGAAGCAGCCAUCAUUUAAAGAAAGCGUAAUAGCUCACUGGUCGAGUCGGCCUGCGCGGAAGAUGUAACGGGGCUAAACCAUGCACCGAAGCUGCGGCAGCGACGCUGAUGCGUUGUUGGGUAGGGGAGCGUUCUGUAAGCCUGCGAAGGUGGCCUGUGAGGGUUGCUGGAGGUAUCAGAAGUGCGAAUGCUGACAUAAGUAACGAUAAAGCGGGUGAAAAGCCCGCUCGCCGGAAGACCAAGGGUUCCUGUCCAACGUUAAUCGGGGCAGGGUGAGUCGACCCCUAAGGCGAGGCCGAAAGGCGUAGUCGAUGGGAAACGGGUUAAUAUUCCCGUACUUGGUGUUACUGCGAAGGGGGGACGGAGAAGGCUAUGUUGGCCGGGCGACGGUUGUCCCGGUUUAAGCGUGUAGGUGUGUGUUCCAGGUAAAUCCGGUUCACUUUAACACUGAGGCGUGACGACGAGGCACUACGGUGCUGAAGCAACAAAUGCCCUGCUUCCAGGAAAAGCCUCUAAGCAUCAGGUAACACGAAAUCGUACCCCAAACCGACACAGGUGGUCAGGUAGAGAAUACCAAGGCGCUUGAGAGAACUCGGGUGAAGGAACU